RNAcentral lists this ribosomal RNA (348 nucleotides) under Triticum aestivum (bread wheat). RNAcentral's name for it is "partial small subunit ribosomal RNA". The record is from RNAcentral. Lineage: Eukaryota; Viridiplantae; Streptophyta; Magnoliopsida; Poales; Poaceae.
AUGGCGGAUCCCCUGCUCACAAAAAGAGAGAAAAAGCAGGGAGAUGAGAGAUGGAAACAAAAGGAGCACGGGAAGAAGAAGAAGAAGCAGGCAUCGGCGCUCAUCUCCGACGAAGCUUGCCGGCGACAAAGUGGCACGAGGCGAAGGGGAUCGAGCGUAGAGGCGCAAGAGGAGGAACUCGGGGCUGCUUUGGUGCCGCGCUGCUGCUUGGGUGAGGCAAGACGGCAGCCGGAUGGAUGUGCGGUGGAGGCAGAGAGUGGAGGCGGAGGGGAUUGGAUCGGGCGAAACAGUGGAGGCGCUGGGUUGGGCGAUGGGGAUCCCGAGGAAGAUGUGGCGGCGGCGGGGUGA